Molecule: non-coding RNA, 28 nt
Filed under: Homo sapiens (human)
Lineage: Eukaryota; Metazoa; Chordata; Mammalia; Primates; Hominidae
Source: RNAcentral
AGAAGCGGGGGGAGGGGGGGGUUUGGUA